Non-coding RNA from Phrynosoma platyrhinos (Desert horned lizard), 72 nucleotides. The record is from the annotation of a GenBank genome assembly. Lineage: Eukaryota; Metazoa; Chordata; Lepidosauria; Squamata; Phrynosomatidae.
GCUCAAAGUGGUGUAGUGGUUUGAGCAUUGGACUAGGACUCUGGAGACCAGGAUUCAAAUCCCUGCUCAGCC